GGGGAUGUACCGGUUUCGACGGGGUGAAAUGUUCAGGUAGGAGCAAGCCGUGCUCGGUUCGUGGCGCACGUAAAUUCAACGGACAAAACAACAAGUGCAAACAACACUCCAAACGUUUAUGCAAUGAACUCUGUUCCUGCAUACAGCUUAGCCGCUUAAUUUUAUUUAGGUCGCUAACCAUCCGCCUGAAAGCUCGUCUAUUGGCUUUCGACGUGGGUGUAACCCUCAGAUAGACUGGCAGGUAUGGGAUUUUCGGCAGUACCUGUGAGAUAACACCGCAAACAGCGAGGCGGCUCCUGUCGUUUGGAUACCCGGCUCGUUAAACUCAAAAAACGAAUAAGCUUGUAGAGCCAACGGCUCAUGCACUUCGGACGCGGGUUCGACUCCCGCCAUCUCCACUU
This 401-nucleotide transfer-messenger RNA is filed under the name Bacteroidota (CFB group bacteria). Its description in RNAcentral is "JADJXV01 sp016720145 Standard tmRNA". It matches the Rfam family "transfer-messenger RNA". Rfam says of the family: Bacterial tmRNA, also known as 10Sa RNA or SsrA, is named for its dual tRNA and mRNA-like properties. Its role is to liberate the mRNA from a stalled ribosome. To accomplish this part of the tmRNA is used as a reading frame that ends in a translation stop signal. RNAcentral also lists the same sequence under 1 other name. The record is from RNAcentral. Lineage: Bacteria; Pseudomonadati.